This is a non-coding RNA of Ictidomys tridecemlineatus (thirteen-lined ground squirrel), 72 nucleotides long. NCBI's taxonomy places the organism in Eukaryota, Metazoa, Chordata, Mammalia, Rodentia, Sciuridae. The record is from Rfam.
UGGGUUGUGGCUCAGUGGUAGAGCACUCGCCUUUCACGUGCGAGACCCUGAGUUCGAUCCUCAGCAUCACAU